GAUGAACGCUGACAGCAUGCUUAACACAUCAGCAAUUGAUUGGUGGCGGAAGGGUGAGUAACGCGUAAAGAACUUGCCUCACAGGUAGGGACAACAUUUGGAAACGAAUGCUAAUACCUAAUACUGUGAGAGAGCUUUGCGUCCCAUUAGCUAGUUGGAGAGGUAACGGCUCACCAAGGCGAUGAUGGGUAGCAGGCCUGAGAGGUUGAUCGGCCACAAGGUGACGGGGAGACGGCCCUGACGCCUACUGGAGGCAGCAGGGGGGAAUAUUGGACAAUGGACCAAAGUUUGAUCCAGCAAUUCUGUUUGAACGAUGAAGUUUUCGGAAUGUAAAGUUCUUUCAGUUGGGAAGCGGUACCAACAGAAGAAGUGACGGCUAAAUACGUGCCAGCAGCCGCGGUAAUUC
This 406-nucleotide ribosomal RNA is filed under the name uncultured bacterium. Its description in RNAcentral is "partial 16S ribosomal RNA". It matches the Rfam family "Bacterial small subunit ribosomal RNA", at positions 28 to 526 of the family's 1533-position model. The record is from RNAcentral.